AGCUGAUUCCAACUGACAACAAGAGAGG
This 28-nucleotide non-coding RNA is filed under the name Cricetulus griseus (Chinese hamster). Lineage: Eukaryota; Metazoa; Chordata; Mammalia; Rodentia; Cricetidae. The record is from RNAcentral.